This 65-nucleotide non-coding RNA is filed under the name Actinobaculum massiliense. Lineage: Bacteria; Bacillati; Actinomycetota; Actinomycetes; Actinomycetales; Actinomycetaceae. RNAcentral also lists the same sequence under 1 other name. The record is from RNAcentral.
CCAGAGGCGUUUCCGGCCUCGCGGACGAGGGAGCAGUACCCGCACAGCGAAAAGACUGACUCGGA